CCUACGGGUGGCAGCAGUGAGGAAUAUUGGUCAAUGGGCGCGAGCCUGAACCAGCCAAGUCGCGUGCGGGAAGAAGGUCCUAUGGAUUGUAAACCUCUUUUGUCGGGGAGCAAAAGACGCCACGCGUGGCGUUCCGAGAGUACCCGAAGAAAAAGCAUCGGCUAACUCCGUGCCAGCAGCCGCGGUAAUACGGAGGACGCGAGCGUUAUCCGGAUUCAUUUGGUUUAAAGGGUGCGCAGGCGGAAGAUCAAGUCAGCGGUAAAAUUGAGAGGCUCAACCUCUUCGAGCCGUUGAAACUGGGUGUCUUGAGUGAGUGAGAGGUAUGCGGAAUGCGUGGUGUAGCGGUGAAAUGCAUAGAUAUCACGAAGAACCCCGAUUGCGAAGGCAGCAUACCGGCGCUCAACUGACGCUGAGGCACGAAAGUGUGGGUAUCGAACAGGAUUAGAUACCCUGGUAGUC
This 459-nucleotide ribosomal RNA is filed under the name uncultured bacterium. Its description in RNAcentral is "partial 16S ribosomal RNA". It matches the Rfam family "Bacterial small subunit ribosomal RNA", at positions 338 to 795 of the family's 1533-position model. The record is from RNAcentral.